This 85-nucleotide transfer RNA is filed under the name Rhodoferax sp. RNAcentral describes it as "tRNA-Leu". It matches the Rfam family "tRNA". Rfam says of the family: Transfer RNA (tRNA) molecules are approximately 80 nucleotides in length. Their secondary structure includes four short double-helical elements and three loops (D, anti-codon, and T loops). The record is from RNAcentral. RNAcentral also lists the same sequence under 3 other names. Lineage: Bacteria; Pseudomonadati; Pseudomonadota; Betaproteobacteria; Burkholderiales; Comamonadaceae.
GCGGCUAUGGCGGAAUUGGUAGACGCACCUGGUUUAGGUCCAGACGCCGCAAGGCGUGGGGGUUCGAGUCCCUCUAGCCGCACCA